Non-coding RNA from Ovis aries (sheep), 74 nucleotides. The record is from Rfam. NCBI's taxonomy places the organism in Eukaryota, Metazoa, Chordata, Mammalia, Artiodactyla, Bovidae.
GCCCUGGCAGUCCAAAAGUUAGGACUCUGCACUUCUACUGUAGGAGGCACAGGUUCAAUCCCUGUUCCAGAACU